AGCAGCCGCGGUAAUUCCAGCUCCAAUAGCGUAUAUUAAAGUUGUUGCAGUUAAAAAGCUCGUAGUUGAAUUUCGGGGUUUAUACGUUGGUCGGGCUUUUGGGUCUGUACUGGCGUUAUGAAUUCCUACCUUCUGAAUAACCAGCAUGCCAUUAAUUUGGUGCGUCGGGGAAGCAGGACUGUUACCUUGAAAAAAUUAGAGUGCUUAAAGCAGGCUAUUGCCUGAAUACAUUAGCAUGGAAUAAUGAAAUAGGACGGCAUGGUUCUAUUUUGUUGGUUUCUAGGAUCACCGUAAUGAUUAAUAGGGAUAGUUGGGGGCAUUAGUAUUCAAUUGUCAGAGGUGAAAUUCUUGGAUUUAUUGAAGACUAACUUCUGCGAAAGCAUUUGCCAAGGAUGUUUUCAUUAAUCAAGAACGAAAGUUAGGGGAUCGAAGACGAUCAGAUACCGUCGUAGUCUUAACCAUAAACUAUGCCGACUAGGGAUCGGACGAUGUUAAUUUUUAAUGACUCGUUCGCGCCUUA
Molecule: ribosomal RNA, 520 nt
Filed under: uncultured Acaulospora
Lineage: Eukaryota; Fungi; Glomeromycota; Glomeromycetes; Diversisporales; Acaulosporaceae
Description: SSU rRNA
Rfam family: Eukaryotic small subunit ribosomal RNA
Source: RNAcentral